RNAcentral lists this long non-coding RNA (553 nucleotides) under Homo sapiens (human). Its description in RNAcentral is "HSALNT0389653". Lineage: Eukaryota; Metazoa; Chordata; Mammalia; Primates; Hominidae. The record is from RNAcentral.
CUAAAUCAAAGGGCAGGCUGCACUUUUGGCUGGUGGCCAAGGUUCUGGAGGCAGCCGGUGAGGACCAGGCAUGCAGUGCGAACCGCUCGGGGCACCGGACAGCAUCCACUUCCCGCGCACCCACGAAGAGGGCAAUAUAAGAACUGGGCACUCAGCACGAUUUGCAAUUCAUGGGAGUUCUGGAAUUUUGAAUUUCAGAGGUUCUAGAAUGCUGGAACUUGCACCUUGGUGGUGUUCUAGAACUCUCAGGGAUACUGGAUUUCUAGAACUACAAAAGGGUCCUGCGUGAGGGGACAGAUCUCGCGGACUUUAGAGUUUCUCUCUGCCACCACUUAACUUUGAAGCUCCGUGAUGAUGUUGUGGGGCCCUUGGGGCCGCUGAAAUGUCUGGGCAGCUGUCUGCUUGUCUCUCUCGGAUUCGGAGCUGACAGAAUUCAUAUCAGAAGAGUGAACGCAGGGACAUCUGUGUGCGGAAUGACUGUGCUGCUCGAACCUGCCAAUCGCUCCUGGCACGAGCUGGAUUCCUGAGAAUAAGAAAAGGGACAAGAAAGGAG